UACGGAGGGUGCAAGCGUUAUCCGGAUUCACUGGGUUUAAAGGGUGCGUAGGUGGGGAUGUAAGUCAGUGGUGAAAUCUCCGUGCUUAACAUGGAAACUGCCAUUGAUACUAUGUUUCUUGAAUUUUCUGGAGGUAAGCGGAAUAUGUCAUGUAGCGGUGAAAUGCUUAGAUAUGACAUAGAACACCAAUUGCGAAGGCAGCUUGCUACAGGGAUAUUGACACUGAGGCACGAAAGCUAGGGUAGCAAACGGG
RNAcentral lists this ribosomal RNA (253 nucleotides) under uncultured bacterium. RNAcentral describes it as "partial 16S ribosomal RNA". It matches the Rfam family "Bacterial small subunit ribosomal RNA", at positions 524 to 776 of the family's 1533-position model. The record is from RNAcentral.